AUUGAACGCUGGCGGCAGGCCUAACACAUGCAAGUCGAACGAGUGGCGGACGGGUGAGUAAUGUCUGGGAAACUGCCCGAUGGAGGGGGAUAACUACUGGAAACGGUAGCUAAUCCCGCAUACCAUCGGAUUUGCCCAGAUGGGAUUAGCUUGUAGGUGAGGUAACGGCUCACCUAGGCGACGCUCCCUAGCUGGUCUGAGAGGAUGACCAGCCACACUGGAACUGAGACACGGUCCAGACUCCUACGGGAGGCAGCAGUGGGGAAUAUUGCACAAUGGGCGAAAGCCUGAUCCAGCCAUGCCGCGUGUGUGAAGAAGGUCUUCGGAUUGUAAAGCACUUUAAGUUGGGAGGCGUGACCAACAGAAUAAGCACCGGCUAACUUCGUGCCAGCCGCCGCGGUAAUAC
RNAcentral lists this ribosomal RNA (406 nucleotides) under uncultured bacterium. RNAcentral's name for it is "partial 16S ribosomal RNA". It matches the Rfam family "Bacterial small subunit ribosomal RNA", at positions 30 to 526 of the family's 1533-position model. The record is from RNAcentral.